Molecule: long non-coding RNA, 638 nt
Filed under: Prunus persica (peach)
Lineage: Eukaryota; Viridiplantae; Streptophyta; Magnoliopsida; Rosales; Rosaceae
Description: long non-coding RNA (PPER_LNC000137)
Source: RNAcentral
UUUACUUGAGAACCCCAAGAAAGAGAUGUGACAAAAUUUGAGUAACUACAUGCACAAAUUUUACAGAUUUUAAUAUAUUUUCUUAAUGCAAUGAGUGAAUAAUACAAGAAGAAAAAAAGAUGGAAAGUGUUGGGAGACAAUUCUACAAGAUGGCAUGUCCCACUCCCCAUCCCCAACCAGAAUAAAUAUAAAAAAGAGGAAGAAAUACGUUCCUUCAAUGUUAGAGCGGGUUCACAGUACAAAGAAAAAUGAUGAAAACGUAGGUUUCAAAGGAACACUUAAACCACAAACACAACUAUAACCAACUCCAAUAAGCCCUUUUGUGGUACACAGAAUUUUUUGUUCAAUCACAUAUUUGGCGUGCCAUGUCUUCACAACUAUCUAAGGGAAGAACACAAUUGUGACUAAUGUAUCCAUAACUGACUGAAUAUGUACAUUAGUUAUGCUUGCAUUUUCUUUGCUGUCUUCCCAUCCAUAGCUUCGUUAGAUGAGCCACUGGCCAUAUAUGGGUUCUCAACUUGAAUCUGUCACUUUCUUAUGUUUCCUCGUUCCUAUUUUUUGUACUUCAGGGGAUCCAAAGUAGUGGUGAAUGUAAAAUGAAACAAAGAUGACAAUAGCACUCAACAGCUAAAGUAGGC